AGCAACCCGAGAAAUCCGGGUCCUCCGGGUCC
This 32-nucleotide small RNA is filed under the name Bombyx mori (domestic silkworm). Its description in RNAcentral is "ovarian small RNA-12010". Lineage: Eukaryota; Metazoa; Arthropoda; Insecta; Lepidoptera; Bombycidae. The record is from RNAcentral.